This is a non-coding RNA of Podarcis lilfordi (Lilford's wall lizard), 958 nucleotides long. NCBI's taxonomy places the organism in Eukaryota, Metazoa, Chordata, Lepidosauria, Squamata, Lacertidae. The record is from the annotation of a GenBank genome assembly.
CAUACUACGCCUUAAUUAGCUUGUGGUGCUCCUUGGCGACGCUUUUGGGUAAGGACAGCGACCAGGAACCUAGCCACUUUCAGGGUCGUAUGGGCAUCCUUAUCCUGCAAGAUUUGGGCAAGGUGGAAUUUUGGUGGAGUACCCUCUAAUUUCUGUAUGAUUGAUCCCAACAAGUUUGCCCGUGGCACCUUAAAUAAGGGGCAAGUGAACAUAAUGUGCUGAAGCGACUCCGGCAUCUCCUUAUCACAUUCGCACAUGGCGGAGGUUUGGCCCUUUGAGAAUCUAUGUCUCAGGACAUUGGAGGAAAAACAUUAAACCUCGCUUUGGUGAAGGCCAGCCUAUGGGCAACAGUCGAAAGGGAGGAGAGGUAUGAUGGAACGCAAUAAGUUAAAGUGAUACCAAUGUUCUGGGGCGAACAAACACCUCCCCCCAGCAUAUAAUUUUGCUGUAAAUCGAUGUCAUCCAGUCUUUGGCGGAUCAGUCUUUGAGCAGUGAUUUGAUCUAGUUUUAGGGAAUCUAAGGGAGAGAUUCCAUAGCUCAGGAGUUUGGCAUGAAUUCUACUGGUCCAAAGGCUGGGGAAUUCAUCUCGCCAUAAGCAUUGGGCAAGGUAAUGGUCUGGUAAUCUAUGCCACAAUGAUAACCAAUAAUUGAAGACUUGCUUCCACAGGCAGGUUUCUAAGGAUGCGAUCCUCAAUUCUAAACGCAUGGCUGCGUUGCUUACGCACAGGGGAGCAUUAGGAGCCGACGUAGGAAUUGGUUUUGCAAAGUCUCAAGAGGAGCAAGGUCUGUCAUCACGACCCAGAGCGGGGCAGCAUAAGCAAGCACGGGAACCACUUUUGCCUUGAACACCUUUAGGGCCGAGGGAACAUGCAAAGCUCCAUCCGAAAAGAAAAAUCGGAGGAGCGCAUAUGACAGAGUUUUGGCCUUAUUAAGUAGGUGUUGAAUAUGUGCUUUCCAC